UACAGAGGUCCCAAGCGUUGUUCGGAUUCAUUGGGCGUAAAGGGUGCGUAGGCGGCGCGGUAAGUCGGGUGUGAAAUCUCGGGGCUUAACUCCGAAACUGCAUUCGAUACUGCCGUGCUUGAGGACUGGAGAGGAGACUGGAAUUUACGGUGUAGCGGUGAAAUGCGUAGAUAUCGUAAGGAAGACCAGUGGCGAAGGCGGGAUCCUGGGCCAGUACUGACGCUGAGGAGCGAAAGCGUGGGGAGCAAACAGG
This 253-nucleotide ribosomal RNA is filed under the name uncultured bacterium. RNAcentral describes it as "partial 16S ribosomal RNA". It matches the Rfam family "Bacterial small subunit ribosomal RNA", at positions 524 to 776 of the family's 1533-position model. The record is from RNAcentral.